Molecule: ribosomal RNA, 1464 nt
Filed under: marine metagenome
Description: bacterial LSU rRNA
Rfam family: Bacterial large subunit ribosomal RNA
Source: RNAcentral
AGGUGUAGGCGAAGCGAAAGCGAGUCUGAAUAGGGCGAUUUAGUUAAUGGGAUUAGACUCGAAACCGAGUGAUCUAGUCAUGAGCAGGUUGAAAGUGAAGUAAAAUUCACCGGAGGACCGAACCCACUAGCGUUGAAAAGCUACGGGAUGACUUGUGAUUAGGGGUGAAAGGCCAACCAAACUCGGAAAUAGCUAGUUCUCCGCGAAAACUAUUUAGGUAGUGCGUCGUGUGAAUCUUGUCGGGGGUAGAGCACUGAAUGGGCUAGGGGGAAGCAAUUCCUACCAAACCUAAUCAAACUCCGAAUACCGAUAAGUCUGCACGGCAGACAGUCCAUGGGUGCUAAGGUCCUUGGACGAGAGGGAAACAGCCCAGAUCAACAGCUAAGGUCCCCAAAUAAUGAUUAAGUGUGAAAGGGAGUGGGAACUCCAAGACAGCCAGGAGGUUGGCUUAGAAGCAGCCAUCCUUUAAAGAAAGCGUAACAGCUCACUGGUCUAAUUAAGAGAUCCUGCACCGAAAAUGUAACGGGGCUCAAAUCAUUUACCGAAGCUUUGACAAUUACUUUGUAAUUGGGUAGCGGAGCGUUCUGUAAGCCUGUAAAGGUGAUGCGUAAGCAUUGCUGGAGGUAUCAGAAGUGCGAAUGCUGACAUGAGUAACGAUAAGAAAUGUGAAAGACAUUUCCGCCGAAAUCCUAAGGUUUCCUGCGUAAAGCUAAUCUGCGCAGGGUUAGUCGGCCCCUAAGGCGAGGGCGAAAGCCGUAGUCGAUGGGAAGCAGGUUAAUAUUCCUGCACCAGCUGGUAGUGACGGAUGAAGUAAAUUGUAAGUUCUUACUGGAUUGAGCUUGCAGUGAAUUUGUCCCUGGAAAUAGCUCCAGCAUUAGACCGUACCAAAACCGACACAGGUAGGAGGGUAGAGAAUACCAAGGCGCUUGAGAGAACUAUGUUGAAGGAACUCGGCAAAUUACACUUGUAACUUCGGGAUAAAAGUGACCUGCUAUUGGGCAACCAGUAGGAGGUGGCACAGAAGAGGGGGUAGCGACUGUUUACUAAAAACAUAGCACUAUGCAAAGUCGAAAGACGACGUAUAUGGUGUGACGCCUGCCCGGUGCCGGAAGGUUAAUAGGAGGGGUGCAAGCCCUGAAUUGAAGCCCCGGUGAACGGCGGCCGUAACUAUAACGGUCCUAAGGUAGCGAAAUUCCUUGUCGGGUAAGUUCCGACCUGCACGAAUGGCGUAACGAUUUCCCCACUGUCUCCAACAUAGACUCAGUGAAAUUGAAUUCUCGGUUAAGAUGCCGAGUAACCGUGGUUAGACGGAAAGACCCCGUGCACCUUUACUGCAGCUUUGUAUUGGUAUUAGGGAACAGAUGUGUAGCAUAGGUGGGAGACUUUGAAGGAGUGGCGCUAGCCAUUCUGGAGUCACUAGUGAAAUACCACUCUUCUGUUCCUUGAUGCCUAACCAUACACCGU